UACGUAGGGGGCGAGCGUUGUCCGGAUUUAUUGGGCGUAAAGAGCUCGUAGGCGGUCUGUCGCGUCGGAUGUGAAAACCCAGGGCUCAACUCUGGGCCUGCAUUCGAUACGGGCAGACUAGAGUACGGCAGGGGAGACUGGAAUUCCUGGUGUAGCGGUGAAAUGCGCAGAUAUCAGGAGGAACACCGGUGGCGAAGGCGGCCUGCUGGGCAGUGGCUGACGCUGAGGCGCGACAGCGUGGGGAGCAAACAGG
RNAcentral lists this ribosomal RNA (253 nucleotides) under uncultured bacterium. RNAcentral's name for it is "partial 16S ribosomal RNA". It matches the Rfam family "Bacterial small subunit ribosomal RNA", at positions 524 to 776 of the family's 1533-position model. The record is from RNAcentral.